Molecule: ribosomal RNA, 255 nt
Filed under: uncultured bacterium
Lineage: Bacteria
Description: partial 16S ribosomal RNA
Rfam family: Bacterial small subunit ribosomal RNA
Source: RNAcentral
UACAGAGGUGGCAAGCGUUGUUCGGAAUUACUGGGCGUAAAGGGCGCGUAGGUGGCCCGGUCAGUUCGUGGUGAAAGCGCGGGGCUCAACCCUGCGUCGGCCAUGAAUACUGCCGCGGCUGGAGCACUGUAGAGGCAGGCGGAAUUCCGGGUGUAGCGGUGGAAUGCGUAGAGAUCCGGAAGAACACCAGUGGCGAAGGCGGACUCACUGGCCCAUUACUGACGCUGAGGCACGAAAGCGUGGGGAGCAAACAGG